CAAUAGCGUAUAUUUAAGUUGCUGCAGUUAAAAAGCUCGUAGUUGGAUUUCGGGUGGGAAUGGCCGGUCCGCCGUUUCGGUGUGCACUUGCUACGCCCACCUUGCUGCCGGGGACGUGCUCUUGAGUUCACGCUCGGGACACGGAGUCGGCGAGGUUACUUUGAGUAAAUUAGAGUGUUCAAAGCAGGCCUACGCUCUGAAUACAUUAGCAUGGAAUAACACGAUGGGACUCUGGCCUAUCUUGUUGGUCUGUAGGACCGGAGUAAUGAUUAAGAGGGACAGUCGGGGGCAUUCGUAUUUCAUUGUCAGAGGUGAAAUUCUUGGAUUUAUGAAAGACGAACUACUGCGAAAGCAUUUGCCAAGGAUGUUUUCAUUAA
Molecule: ribosomal RNA, 377 nt
Filed under: uncultured eukaryote
Lineage: Eukaryota
Description: partial 18S ribosomal RNA
Rfam family: Eukaryotic small subunit ribosomal RNA
Source: RNAcentral